ACGCUCGACACCUACGGGGGCAGCAGUGGGGAAUAUUGCACAAUGGGGGAAACCCUGAUGCAGCAACGCCGCGUGAGUGAAGAAGUAUUUCGGUAUGUAAAGCUCUAUCAGCAGGGAAGAUAAUGACGGUACCUGACUAAGAAGCUCCGGCUAAAUACGUGCCAACAGCCGCGGUAAUCUGAGCGGGCUGGCAAGGC
This 197-nucleotide ribosomal RNA is filed under the name uncultured bacterium. RNAcentral describes it as "partial 16S ribosomal RNA". It matches the Rfam family "Bacterial small subunit ribosomal RNA", at positions 328 to 539 of the family's 1533-position model. The record is from RNAcentral.